AACGAACGCUGGCGGCAGGCUUAACACAUGCAAGUCGAACGCAUGCCCUCGGGUAUGAGUGUCAGACGGGUGCGUAACGCGUGGGAACCUACCCCUUGGUACGGGAUAGCUCCGGGAUACUGGAGAUAAUACCGUAUGUGUCCUGAGGGACAAAGAUUCAUCGCCAGGGGAUGGGCCCGCGUCGGUUUAGCUAGUUGGUGGGGUAACGGCCUACCAAGGCGAGGAUCCGUAGCUGGUUUAAGAGGAUGAUCAGGGACACUGGGACUGGGACACGGCCCAAACGCCUACGGGAGGCGGGAAUGGGGGAUAUAGGACAGGAGGCGCAAUGCUGAUCCAGCCAGGCCGGGAGAACGAUGAAGGCCCUGGAGUUGUAAAGCGCUUUCAACGGUGACGAUAAUGACGGUAGCCGGUGAAGAAGCCCCGGCUAACUACGUG
Molecule: ribosomal RNA, 435 nt
Filed under: uncultured bacterium
Lineage: Bacteria
Description: partial 16S ribosomal RNA
Rfam family: Bacterial small subunit ribosomal RNA
Source: RNAcentral